Molecule: ribosomal RNA, 424 nt
Filed under: uncultured Enterobacteriaceae bacterium
Lineage: Bacteria; Pseudomonadati; Pseudomonadota; Gammaproteobacteria; Enterobacterales; Enterobacteriaceae
Description: bacterial SSU rRNA
Rfam family: Bacterial small subunit ribosomal RNA
Source: RNAcentral
UGGGGAAUAUUGCACAAUGGGCGCAAGCCUGAUGCAGCCAUGCCGCGUGUAUGAAGAAGGCCUUCGGGUUGUAAAGUACUUUCAGCGAGGAGGAAGGUGUGGUAGUAAACCGCAGCAUUGACGUUACUCGCAGAAGAAGCACCGGCUAACUCCGUGCCAGCAGCCGCGGUAAUACGGAGGGUGCAAGCGUUAAUCGGAAUUACUGGGCGUAAAGCGCACGCAGGCGGUCUGUCAAGUCGGAUGUGAAAUCCCCGGGCUCAACCUGGGAACGUGCAUCCGAAACUGGCAGGCUAGAGUCUUGUAGAGGGGGGUAGAAUUCCAGGUGUAGCGGUGAAAUGCGUAGAGAUCUGGAGGAAUACCGGUGGCGAAGGCGGCCCCCUGGACAAAGACUGACGCUCAGGUGCGAAAGCGUGGGGAGCAAACA